GAUGAAGAACGUAGCGAAAUGCGAUAAGUAAUGUGAAUUGCAGAAUUCAGUGAAUCAUCGAAUCUUUGAACGCACAUUGCGCCCGCCAGCAUUCUGGCGGGCAUGCCUGUUCGAGCGUCAUUUCAACCCUCGAGCCCCCCCGGGGGCCUCGGUGUUGGGGGACGGCACACCAGCCGCCCCCGAAAUGCAGUGGCGACCCCGCCGCAGCCUCCCCUGCGUAGUAGCACACACCUCGCACCGGAGCGCGGAGGCGGUCACGCCGUAAAACGCCCAACUUUCUUAGAGUUGACCUCGGAUCAGGUAGGGAUACCCGCUGAACUUAAGCAUAUCAAUAAGCGGAGGA
Molecule: unclassified non-coding RNA, 343 nt
Filed under: soil metagenome
Description: partial contains 5.8S ribosomal RNA, internal transcribed spacer 2, and large subunit ribosomal RNA
Rfam family: 5.8S ribosomal RNA (bases 1-120)
Source: RNAcentral